Molecule: transfer RNA, 56 nt
Filed under: Opilio parietinus
Lineage: Eukaryota; Metazoa; Arthropoda; Arachnida; Opiliones; Phalangiidae
Description: tRNA-Ser
Source: RNAcentral
AAGGUUAAUUAAAAUAAAGCCGCUAACUUUAAAUUUGUUCAUUAAACAUAACCUUU